Molecule: ribosomal RNA, 253 nt
Filed under: uncultured bacterium
Lineage: Bacteria
Description: partial 16S ribosomal RNA
Rfam family: Bacterial small subunit ribosomal RNA
Source: RNAcentral
UACGGGGGGGGCAAGCGUUGUUCGGAAUUACUGGGCGUAAAGGGCCAGUAGGCGGCCAACUAAGUCGGAUGUGAAAUCCCCAGGCUCAACUUGGGAACUGCAUCCGAUACUGGAUGGCUUGAAUUCGGGAGAGGGAUGCAGAAUUCCAGGUGUAGCGGUGAAAUGCGUAGAUAUCUGGAGGAAUACCGGUGGCGAAGGCGACAUCCUGGACCGGUAUUGACGCUGAGGCGCGAAAGCCAGGGGAGCAAACGGG